RNAcentral lists this ribosomal RNA (305 nucleotides) under uncultured bacterium. RNAcentral describes it as "bacterial SSU rRNA". It matches the Rfam family "Bacterial small subunit ribosomal RNA", at positions 333 to 636 of the family's 1533-position model. The record is from RNAcentral.
UACAACCUACGGGACGCAGCAGUGAGGAAUAUUGGUCAAUGGGCGAGAGCCUGAACCAGCCAAGUCGCGUGAGGGAAGACGGUCCUAUGGAUUGUAAACCUCUUUUGCCGGGGAGCAACAAGCGGUACGUGUACCGCAUCGAGAGUACCCGGAGAAAAAGCAUCGGCUAACUCCGUGCCAGCAGCCGCGGUAAUACGGAGGAUGCGAGCGUUAUCCGGAUUUAUUGGGUUUAAAGGGUGCGCAGGCGGCGCGUUAAGUCAGCGGUACAAUUUCGGGGCUCAACCCCGACGAGCCGUUGAAACUGG